RNAcentral lists this non-coding RNA (26 nucleotides) under Homo sapiens (human). The record is from RNAcentral. Lineage: Eukaryota; Metazoa; Chordata; Mammalia; Primates; Hominidae.
UCCUUCCCAGGACUGCAAGAUGGAGG